GAUGAACGCUGGCGGCGUGCUUAACACAUGCAAGUCGAACGAAGCACUUCUUUUGAUUUCCUGCGGUCCUGAGUAUUUUGUGACUGAGUGACGGACGUGUGAGUAACGCGUGGUUAACCUGCCUUGUACAGGGGGGGAACAGUAGGAAACAGCUGCUAAUACCGCAUAGGCGCACAGCAUCGCAUGCUGCAGUGUGAAAUGCUCCCGUGGUAUAAGAUCGACGCGGGUUGGUUUAGGCAUUUGGUGAGGUAACGGCAUACCAAGGCGGGGAGACAUAGCCGACCUGAGAGGGGGACACGCUACAUCGGGAAUGAGACACGGCCCACACCGCUACGGAGGGCAGCAGUAGGGAAUACUGCACACUGGACGAAAGCCUGAUGCAGCGACGCGGCGGGAGAGAAGAAGUAUUUCGGAAUGCAAAGCUCUAUCAGAAGGGACGAUAAUGACGGUAACUGACUAAGAAGCACCGGCUAAAUACGUG
This 481-nucleotide ribosomal RNA is filed under the name uncultured bacterium. Its description in RNAcentral is "partial 16S ribosomal RNA". It matches the Rfam family "Bacterial small subunit ribosomal RNA", at positions 28 to 507 of the family's 1533-position model. The record is from RNAcentral.